Molecule: ribosomal RNA, 253 nt
Filed under: uncultured bacterium
Lineage: Bacteria
Description: partial 16S ribosomal RNA
Rfam family: Bacterial small subunit ribosomal RNA
Source: RNAcentral
UACGUAGGAUGCAAGCGUUAUCCGGAUUCACUGGGUUUAAAGGGUGUGCAGGCGGGGUAAUAAGUCAGUGGUGAAAGCCCCCGACUCAAUCGGGGAACUGCCAUAGAUACUGUUAUUCUUGAGUGUAGUUGAGGUGGGUGGAAUAUGACAUGUAGCGGUGAAAUGCUUAGAUAUGUCAUAGAACACCAAUCGCGAAGGCAGCCCACCAAACUACUACUGACGCUGAAACACGAAAGUGCGGGGAUCAAACAGG